Molecule: ribosomal RNA, 468 nt
Filed under: uncultured bacterium
Lineage: Bacteria
Description: partial 16S ribosomal RNA
Rfam family: Bacterial small subunit ribosomal RNA
Source: RNAcentral
GACGAACGCUGGCGGCGUGCUUAACACAUGCAAGUCGAACGGAAAGGCCCUGCUUUUGUGGGGUGCUCGAGUGGCGAACGGGUGAGUAACACGUGAGUAACCUGCCCUUGACUUUGGGAUAACUUCAGGAAACUGGGGCUAAUACCGGAUAGGAGCUCCUGCUGCAUGGUGGGGGUUGGAAAGUUUCGGCGGUUGGGGAUGGACUCGCGGCUUAUCAGCUUGUUGGUGGGGUAGUGGCUUACCAAGGCUUUGACGGGUAGCCGGCCUGAGAGGGUGACCGGCCAAAAUGGGACUGAGGUAGGGCCCAGACUCCUACGGGAGGCAGCAGUGGGGAAUAUUGCACAAUGGGCGGAAGCCUGAUGCAGCAACGCCGCGUGCGGGAUGACGGCCUUCGGGUUGUAAACCGCUUUCGCCUGUGACGAAGCGUGAGUGACGGUAAUGGGUAAAGAAGCACCGGCUAACUACGUG